This 462-nucleotide unclassified non-coding RNA is filed under the name Hevea brasiliensis (rubber tree). Lineage: Eukaryota; Viridiplantae; Streptophyta; Magnoliopsida; Malpighiales; Euphorbiaceae. The record is from RNAcentral.
GAGGGAGAAAAACUUUUGACAAAAUUAUUUAUGUUUAAUUGAAUCAGAAAAUAAUAUUAAUAAAAAUGGAAGCUUUUAUUUAUCUAUGAUGGGUAAUCUGUAAUCCCAGUAUCCAAACCAGCACAUCAAGGCAUGAACCAAAAUAAAAACUCUCUCCACCCCACCAUAUACACGUGCAUCUAUCUUCCUUAGAUCCAAUCUUACACAAAACCCACCAAAAUCUACAAAACCUAUCAGGCCCAAAAAAAUAAGAUACAGAUUACAGAAACCAUGGAAUUUCGUCUAUAACCCCCAUUUGCUCUCGCCUUCCCCCUCUUCUCAUUCCACUUUCUUUAACAGCGCCAUUCUUUUGAAUACAACCAACAAGUCUAGCAAAUAAUUCUCUGGUUCUAGGUAAAACCAGAAGCAGAAUUCAGAGAACCAGAAAGGGUCUCUCACACAAUGCUUUGUUUGGUCUCGGAG